RNAcentral lists this ribosomal RNA (473 nucleotides) under uncultured bacterium. Its description in RNAcentral is "SSU rRNA". It matches the Rfam family "Bacterial small subunit ribosomal RNA", at positions 26 to 518 of the family's 1533-position model. The record is from RNAcentral.
AGAACGAACGUUAGCGGCGCGCCUAACACAUGCAAGUCGAACGAGAAAGGGCUUCGGCCCCGGUAAAGUGGCGCACGGGUGAGUAACACGUGACUAACCUACCUUCAAGUGGGGGAUAACCUCGGGAAACCGGGGCUAAUACCGCAUAACAUCUUUGGAGUGGAAAUUCUGGAGAUCAAAGGAGCAAUUCGCUGGAAGAGGGGGUCGCGGCUGAUUAGCUAGUUGGCGGGGUAAUGGCCCACCAAGGCUUUGAUCGGUAGCCGGCCUGAGAGGGCGCACGGCCACACUGGAACUGAAACACGGUCCAGACUCCUACGGGAGGCAGCAGUGGGAAUUUUGCGCAAUGGGGGAAACCCUGACGCAGCAACGCCGCGUGGAGGAUGAAGUCCCUUGGGACGUAAACUCCUUUCGACCGGGAAGAUGAUGACGGUACCGGUGGAAGAAGCCCCGGCUAACUUCGUGCCAGCAGCCGC